This 774-nucleotide ribosomal RNA is filed under the name uncultured Neocallimastigales. Its description in RNAcentral is "partial large subunit ribosomal RNA". It matches the Rfam family "Eukaryotic large subunit ribosomal RNA", at positions 22 to 621 of the family's 3401-position model. Lineage: Eukaryota; Fungi; Neocallimastigomycota; Neocallimastigomycetes; Neocallimastigales. The record is from RNAcentral.
AUAUCAGUCAUGCAUAGCAUAUCAAUAAGCGGAGGAAAAGAAACUAACAAGGAUUCCCUUAGUAACGGCGAGUGAAGCGGGAAGAGCUCAAAUUUGAAAUCUUCAAGGUCUUACCUUGACGAAUUGUAGUUUAAAGAAGUGUUUUCUGUUGAAGUUUUGGUAAAAGUUCUUUGGAAUAGGACAUCAUAGAGGGUGAGAAUCCCGUAUUUGACCAUUACUUUCAGCUUUGUGAUACACUUUCAAAGAGUCGGAUUGUUUGGGAAUGCAGUCCAAAAUGGGUGGUAAAUUUCAUCUAAAGCUAAAUAUUGGCGAGAGACCGAUAGCGAACAAGUACCGUGAGGGAAGGAUGAAAAGAACUUUGAAAAGAGAGUUAAACAGUACGUGAAAUUGUCAAAAGGGAAGCGUUUGACACCAGUGUUGUUUUCUCGAAAAUCAAUUAAAAAGAGUUGGAUUUUGUGUUGUAUUGACUUUAUCAGCUUUCUUCACUCUUUUCCAGCUUUUUUUAAUGCACUUUUCGUUUAACAAGUCAACAUCAGUUUCUUUUGUUGUAAAAAGGUCAUUGGAAGGUGGCUUUCUUUUCGGAGAAAGUGUUUAUAGCCUUUGACUCACGCAAUCGGAGAGACUGAGGUCUGCAGCGUAGAUCCUUCGGGGUUAGAUACAUUUGUGCUAAGUUAUAGCUUUUCAUAGACAACUUGUUGACUAUGUUUAGUCUUGUAGCUUACUCGCUUAUGCUAUUUUACCUACGCUUAGGAUGUUGAACUCUAUCACACACAG